GUGGGGAAUAUUGCACAAUGGGCGAAAGCCUGAUGCAGCAACGCCGCGUGAAGGAUGAAGGCCUUUGGGUCGUAAACUUCUGUCCUUGGGGAAGAAAAAAAUGACGGUACCCCUGGAGGAAGUCCCGGCUAACUACGUGCCAGCAGCCGCGGUAAUACGUAGGGGGCGAGCGUUAUCCGGAAUUAUUGGGCGUAAAGAGUACGUAGGUGGUUUUUUAAGCGCAGGGUUUAAGGCGAUGGCUCAACUGUCGUUCGCCCUGUGAACUGGAAGACUUGAGUACAGGAGAGGAAAGCGGAAUUCCUAGUGUAGCGGUGAAAUGCAUAGAUAUUAGGAGGAACACCAGUGGCGAAGGCGGCUUUCUGGACUGUAACUGACGUUGAGGCUCGAAAGCGUGGGGAGCAAACAGGAUUAGAAACCCGUGUAGUCC
RNAcentral lists this ribosomal RNA (427 nucleotides) under uncultured bacterium. RNAcentral describes it as "partial 16S ribosomal RNA". It matches the Rfam family "Bacterial small subunit ribosomal RNA", at positions 354 to 796 of the family's 1533-position model. The record is from RNAcentral.